CAAACUGAAGAGUUGACAUAAUCCUAUUACUCUGUCUCCAUUUCUCUGCUGUUCUUUUGGCUGGAUCCUCCCCCAUGUGUUGGUUUCAUACUCCAGUUGCCACCAAAAGGACUGGAUAAUUCCAGCACAUGGAAUUACUCAACCACAUCCAAGGUCGACUCACUUCUGGCCACUGAUACAGUCGCGCCAGAAGGACCGGCACUGGGGACUGGACACACUCACAUUGCGCCCUUGAUUUGGGGGGACUGGAUUAACAAAGGCGUGAAUCUCAGCUCCCAACACUCCUGGGACAGGGCUGAUAAUGGUACCACUCCACUUCAUCUGCAAAACGAACUUGGCAAAGGCAGGUGUGACGAGAGGCCUGCGCCGGGUCUAGGGGUGGGGGCGAGACUCGGACACUGACAGCCGCAGCCUUUGGGGAACCCGGGCGCGGGAGUCGCCAUAAGCUUCACUCCCAGACUUCGCCCCGAGACGGAGGCCGCCGCCACACUCUCCCUCUGAGGAGAGGGCGGAG
RNAcentral lists this long non-coding RNA (514 nucleotides) under Heterocephalus glaber (naked mole-rat). Its description in RNAcentral is "lncRNA (ENSHGLG00100047848.1)". Lineage: Eukaryota; Metazoa; Chordata; Mammalia; Rodentia; Bathyergidae. The record is from RNAcentral.